UUUUUUCUUUAUAUAUCAUUU
Molecule: non-coding RNA, 21 nt
Filed under: Caenorhabditis elegans
Lineage: Eukaryota; Metazoa; Nematoda; Chromadorea; Rhabditida; Rhabditidae
Source: RNAcentral